This 372-nucleotide ribosomal RNA is filed under the name uncultured organism. Its description in RNAcentral is "bacterial SSU rRNA". It matches the Rfam family "Bacterial small subunit ribosomal RNA", at positions 526 to 896 of the family's 1533-position model. The record is from RNAcentral.
CGUAGGGUGCGAGCGUUAAUCGGAAUUACUGGGCGUAAAGCGUGCGCAGGCGGUUUUGUAAGACAGGCGUGAAAUCCCCGGGCUCAACCUGGGAACUGCGCUUGUGACUGCAAGGCUAGAGUACGGCAGAGGGGGGUGGAAUUCCACGUGUAGCAGUGAAAUGCGUAGAGAUGUGGAGGAACACCAAUGGCGAAGGCAGCCCCCUGGGUCGAUACUGACGCUCAUGCACGAAAGCGUGGGUAACAAACAGGAUUAGAUACCCUGGUAGUCCACGCCCUAAACGAUGUCAACUAGGUGUUGGGUGGGUAAAACCAUUUAGUACCGGAGCUAACGCGUGAAGUUGACCGCCUGGGGAGUACGGCCGCAAGGUUA